Molecule: transfer RNA, 77 nt
Filed under: Candidatus Poribacteria bacterium
Lineage: Bacteria; Candidatus Poribacteria
Description: tRNA-Ile
Rfam family: tRNA
About the family: Transfer RNA (tRNA) molecules are approximately 80 nucleotides in length. Their secondary structure includes four short double-helical elements and three loops (D, anti-codon, and T loops).
Source: RNAcentral
GGGCUUAUAGCUCAGACGGUUAGAGCGCGCGCCUGAUAAGCGCGAGGUCUCUGGUUCGAUUCCAGAUAAGCCCAUCA